GGCCUUGUGGCCCAAUGGAUAAGGCGUCUGACUACGGAUCAGGAGAUUCCAGGUUCGAGUCCUGGCAGGGUCG
This is a non-coding RNA of Nematostella vectensis (starlet sea anemone), 73 nucleotides long. The record is from Rfam. NCBI's taxonomy places the organism in Eukaryota, Metazoa, Cnidaria, Anthozoa, Actiniaria, Edwardsiidae.